AUGCAGUCGAACGAUGAAUAUCUAGCUUGCUAGAUAUAGAUUAGUGGCGGACGGGUGAGUAACAUUUAGGAAUCUGCCUAGUAGUGGGGGAUAGCUCGGGGAAACUCGAAUUAAUACCGCAUACGACCUACGGGUGAAAGGGGGCGCAAGCUCUUGCUAUUAGAUGAGCCUAAAUCAGAUUAGCUAGUUGGUGGGGUAAAGGCCUACCAAGGCGACGAUCUGUAACUGGUCUGAGAGGAUGAUCAGUCACACCGGAACUGAGACACGGUCCGGACUCCUACGGGAGGCAGCAGUGGGGAAUAUUGGACAAUGGGGGCAACCCUGAUCCAGCCAUGCCGCGUGUGUGAAGAAGGCCUUUUGGUUGUAAAGCACUUUAAGCAGGGAGGAGAGGCUAAUGGUUAAUACCCAUUAGAUUAGACGUUACCUGCAGAAUAAGCACCGGCUAACUCUGUGCCAGCAGCCGCGGUAAUACAGAGGGUGCGAGCGUUAAUCGGAAUUACUGGGCGUAAAGCGAGUGUAGGUGGCUCAUUAAGUCACAUGUGAAAUCCCCGGGCUUAACCUGGGAACUGCAUGUGAUACUGGUGGUGCUAGAAUAUGUGAGAGGGAAGUAGAAUUCCAGGUGUAGCGGUGAAAUGCGUAGAGAUCUGGAGGAAUACCGAUGGCGAAGGCAGCUUCCUGGCAUAAUAUUGACACUGAGAUUCGAAAGCGUGGGUAGCAAACAGGAUUAGAUACCCUGGUAGUCCACGCCGUAAACGAUGUCUACUAGCCGUUGGGGUCCUUGAGACUUUAGUGGCGCAGUUAACGCGAUAAGUAGACCGCCUGGGGAGUACGGCCGCAAGGUUAAAACUCAAAUGAAUUGACGGGGGCCCGCACAAGCGGUGGAGCAUGUGGUUUAAUUCGAUGCAACGCGAAGAACCUUACCUGGUCUUGACAUAGUGAGAAUCCUGCAGAGAUGCGGGAGUGCCUUCGGGAAUUCACAUACAGGUGCUGCAUGGCUGUCGUCAGCUCGUGUCGUGAGAUGUUGGGUUAAGUCCCGCAACGAGCGCAACCCUUUUCCUUAUUUGCCAGCGGGUUAAGCCGGGAACUUUAAGGAUACUGCCAGUGACAAACUGGA
RNAcentral lists this ribosomal RNA (1114 nucleotides) under Enhydrobacter sp. RNAcentral's name for it is "bacterial SSU rRNA". It matches the Rfam family "Bacterial small subunit ribosomal RNA", at positions 55 to 1167 of the family's 1533-position model. The record is from RNAcentral. Lineage: Bacteria; Pseudomonadati; Pseudomonadota; Alphaproteobacteria; Hyphomicrobiales.